CAGUUUUGCUGCUGCUAUGAUUAGUAAAGAUCCUCCUGCAGUGCCUGUGGAAGAUAAUCCAUCAUCACCAAGGCAGUGAAAUUGGCUGACCCCACCCUUAUCCUCCUGCUCAAAUUGAAGAACCAAGUCUUGGAGAGUGCUGCAAUGGAGGUGAAGUCUGUACUGAUGAGCCCUGACUCCACAAUGCAAAGAAGUAGAAGCCAUUGGCUAAGUCUUUUGAAUAUCAUAGCUGCAGUGGAGUGACUGGGAGAAAGGAAAGAGAACCAGGCCCCGGACCCAGAAUAUCUUUACAGCUAAUGAACUGCUUUAUUCUAGUAAAGUCUGAAAUCAAAUGCAGAGGGAUUUGUGAUACAAUACCAAGAUCUGUCUCUGGCUUUCUUCACAUGGGUUCCUAGAUGGUGACUCCAUGAUUUUAAAAGAGUAGAUUUCUCAUCUCAUCCACCCGACGCUACACCUUUUAAUUCUCUCCAUCAUCCCAGAACUCAAAAGAUCCAUGAGGAACCCGCUGCUCCCUUCCACGCAUCAGUCUGCGUCUCCUAUCUGGGAGCGUGCAAGCCACUUGGACACACGAGUGUGACCAGGGACAGCUGCUGAUGAGCCUGGUGCCUUCCCCAGUGGGCGAGGCUAAGGCCGGGGCUGUGAGAAGUACAAACAUACUGGAGGAACUACCAGCAAGCAGCGGCCACAUGUGUUGCUCCUUUCACUGUGGAGGCUCCCAGUAGAACCCUGCAGCUCCGUGGAUACCGAUUUAUAUCUGCAUCCACAAAUAUAAAUUUGUAUCCGCACAGAGCUCUACUGAUUUAGUCUCUAUAUGGUGCACUGAGUUUGAGUUCUAAAUAUUGCAUACUGAUGGGCAAGGAAGAUGAUCUUAGCAAAUGCAUUUUGAAUGGACUAGGAGAGAGGCA
Mauremys reevesii (Reeves's turtle) is the source of this 905-nucleotide long non-coding RNA. RefSeq lists it as uncharacterized. Lineage: Eukaryota; Metazoa; Chordata; Testudines; Geoemydidae. The transcript is spliced from 4 exons. The record is from RefSeq and is a predicted model, not a curated record.